RNAcentral lists this unclassified non-coding RNA (21 nucleotides) under Chlamydomonas reinhardtii. RNAcentral describes it as "small RNA Cre_2419". Lineage: Eukaryota; Viridiplantae; Chlorophyta; Chlorophyceae; Chlamydomonadales; Chlamydomonadaceae. The record is from RNAcentral.
UAUUGCAGGCUUACAGAUUGC